Molecule: long non-coding RNA, 200 nt
Filed under: Prunus persica (peach)
Lineage: Eukaryota; Viridiplantae; Streptophyta; Magnoliopsida; Rosales; Rosaceae
Description: long non-coding RNA (PPER_LNC001804)
Source: RNAcentral
GACAAAUGUCAAUAAUGAUGGAUGAAUAGAGGAAACAGACUUAGAUACUAGACACAGACAAGCAGGAGAGGGAUGACCAAGGCGGUGGUUCCAGAUGGUAUUGAAAACAGUGGUGUGACAGAUAACGGAGGACUUGCGAACUGGUGACAUGAAGUAGAGGCCACCACUUUGCUUACCCCAUCCAAUCAUCUUCCUUGAAC